This is a non-coding RNA of Pelobates cultripes (western spadefoot toad), 613 nucleotides long. Lineage: Eukaryota; Metazoa; Chordata; Amphibia; Anura; Pelobatidae. The record is from the annotation of a GenBank genome assembly.
AUUGGCUCUCAGGUCCAGGACACCCCCACAUAAAACAAGAUAAUCCCUUCUCUGUGCCUAAGAGAUAACUAAGUCAGGAACUGUACUAAACUCAAUUAUCUCCAGACAAUAUACAUUUUUACAAAACCCCACAAUAGUUACAUCUCCUGAGAGCCCCGAUCUGAGUGACCAACGUAUCCAAAAAUCACCCAGAUCGGUUCAGGGGUUCGGAAUUUUCAUGGAAGUCAUGAUUUUGAUUGAUCGUGCACAUGGUCCUGUGCCCAAAACAGUUCCAUGAAAUUAGUGCCAAAGGUCGGUCCAUUUCGGUAGUCUUUUACAGGUUUCCCUGCAGGACCCAUAGUCUGUGGGCAGGAGGCUGGCAAGCAAGCUCCUACAGGAGCUCCUGGCAAACUCACAUGGGAAGGGGAGUUUGUCACAGCUACUAUGAGAAAUGAAGCCAAAUCCGUGCUCCCGACACCACUCACCAAACCACAAGUUAAAGUCUCUAUUACGCAUCUGUGUGUUAUGCACAGGCAGAACUUCAGAGAAUGACAGUGUGGAAGCAACCUGCUGUAUAUCAUUGGCAAAAACACUAAAAACUUCCUUUACCUCCGUAACCUCAUUGCAAGCCAAG